RNAcentral lists this ribosomal RNA (468 nucleotides) under uncultured bacterium. RNAcentral describes it as "partial 16S ribosomal RNA". It matches the Rfam family "Bacterial small subunit ribosomal RNA", at positions 28 to 507 of the family's 1533-position model. The record is from RNAcentral.
GACGAACGCUGGCGGCGUGCUUAACACAUGCAAGUCGAACGGAAAGGCCCUGCUUUUGUGGGGUGCUCGAGUGGCGAACGGGUGAGUAACACGUGAGUAACCUGCCCUUGACUUUGGGACAACUUCAGGCAACUGGGGCUAAUACCGGAUAGGAGCUCCUGCUGCAUGGUGGGGGUUGGAAAGUUUGGGCGGUUGGGGAUGGAUGGGGGGCUUAUCAGCUUGUUGGUGGGGGAGUGGCCUACCAAGGGAUCGACGGAUAGCCGGCCUGAGAGGGUGACCAGCGACAUUGCGACUGAGAUACGGCCCAGACUCCUACGGGAGGCAGAAGUGGGGAAUAUUGCACAAUGGGCGGAAGCCUGAUGCAGCAACGCCGCGUGCGGGAUGACGGCCUUCGUGUUGUAAACCGCUUUCGCCUGUGACGAAGCGUGAGUGACGGUAAUGGGUAAAGAAGCACCGGCUAACUACGUG